UUUCCCUCUCUCUACUUAAUACGCUUGAACUCAUCCUCAUUCACUCCAAAUUACCGCUGGACUCUUUUCCCUCCAUAUGCCACCUUAAUUUGCUCUCAACCAUUGGAAAUUUCUGCAUACCACUCCGAUCCAAUCACCCACUCCAAAAGUGAGAAGCUGCCGCAGCCAACCUGCAGCCAAUGAAGCCCCACCAUAACUAUCACUUUUUUUUUUUUUUGGGAUGUUGAGCAUCUGGUUUUAUAUUGCUAUGUGAGAGAAUAAAAUGCCUUAUAGAAUUAUUACCCAUUGUAGGUUGCACCAUACAAGUCCGGAUUGGUCUGCACUGCCAUGAAAUGUUUUUAGUGUGAAGCCGGAAAAGCUCUGUCACCACUCCAAUGAAACCCAACCGUUUCUAUCACUACGUGCUUGUUUUUAGGAUGUAGAGUAUAUGAUUUUGUAUUGUUAUACGAGAGAAUGAAAUGCCUUAUAGAAUUAUUACCCAUUGUAGGUUCCACCAUAGAGGUCUGGAACGGUCUGCACUGUCAUGGUGAUUAUUAUCAGCUUGCUCAUAAACGAUUGGCUAUUGUAGACCCGGCUUAAUUAGGAGAUGCUCUUGGCCCUUCAUCUGAGGUUGGUUUCCAAGCCAUUGCUGAAGCUCUUGGACUGGCUGCUGUUAAGGCAAUAGUAGCCAUCACUGCCAUAAUUGCUGGUGGACGUUUGGCUUAACGAUUGCAUAACAAUUUCAAAGAACUAUUGGAUAAGUGUGAAAAAGAAGAACUACCUAUGAAGAAAUGGCCCUAAAGCUAAUGACAAACACAAUGUGAAGAAGAAGAAUUAUCCAUGAAGAAGAACUUUCAUGUGCUUUGAUUUGUAAUUUUUUUCAUUAGAUGAAUAAUGACCCAUUAUAUCAUAUUUAUUGUUAAUUGAUAUAUU
This is a long non-coding RNA of Carya illinoinensis, 912 nucleotides long. RefSeq lists it as uncharacterized. The transcript has 3 exons. Lineage: Eukaryota; Viridiplantae; Streptophyta; Magnoliopsida; Fagales; Juglandaceae. The record is from RefSeq and is a predicted model, not a curated record.